This is an RNA transcript of Chaetura pelagica (chimney swift), 522 nucleotides long. It is a transcript of the gene named dnaJ homolog subfamily C member 15 pseudogene, with no coding region annotated. The record is from RefSeq and is a predicted model, not a curated record. NCBI's taxonomy places the organism in Eukaryota, Metazoa, Chordata, Aves, Apodiformes, Apodidae. The transcript is spliced from 2 exons.
AUGGCGAAAUUGAAAAGACAGUCUUACAAAGUUGGACUUGGUGUUGCAAGUGUUGUGUUUGCAGGUCGUUAUGCUUUCCACCUUUGGAAACCAUUGGAGCAGGCAAUUACAGACACAGCAAAUUGGAUUUCAACUUCAAGUCUUUCAUCGUACUAUAAAGAAGGAUUUGAACAGAAAAUGAGUAGGCGAGACGCUAGUCUUAUUUUAGGUGUAAGUCCAUCUGCUGGCAAGGCCAAAAUCGGAACAGCCAAUAGAAGAAUGGUGAUUUUGAAUCACCCUGAUAAAGGUGGAUCACCUUAUUUAGCAACAGAAAUAGAUGAAGCAAAAGACUUGUUAGAAUCCAAAAAACUGAAACCCAAAGCCUUGGGUCGUAAGAGACUCAGUAGAAACAUUGUGCAACAGCUUUCAUAUCUAAUUGCUCUGUACAGUUUCCUAACCCUCCAUUCACUGUUGCUACUUAUUGUCAUAAUUAAGAAUUUAAGACUCUUUAAAAGCAAAGUGAAAUAUUUUACAGUUAAAUAA